RNAcentral lists this ribosomal RNA (373 nucleotides) under uncultured organism. RNAcentral describes it as "partial 16S ribosomal RNA". It matches the Rfam family "Bacterial small subunit ribosomal RNA", at positions 527 to 896 of the family's 1533-position model. The record is from RNAcentral.
GUAGGUGGCAAGCGUUGUCCGGAAUUAUUGGGCGUAAAGCGCGCGCAGGCGGUCCUUUAAGUCUGAUGUGAAAGCCCACGGCUCAACCGUGGAGGGUCAUUGGAAACUGGGGGACUUGAGUACAGAAGAGGAAAGUGGAAUUCCAAGUGUAGCGGUGAAAUGCGUAGAGAUUUGGAGGAACACCAGUGGCGAAGGCGGCUUUCUGGUCUGUAACUGACGCUGAGGCGCGAAAGCGUGGGGAGCAAACAGGAUUAGAUACCCUGGUAGUCCACGCCGUAAACGAUGAGUGCUAAGUGUUAGGGGGUUUCCCGCCCCCUUAGUGCUGCAGCUAACGCAUUAAGCACUCCGCCUGGGGAGUACGGCCGCAAGGCUG